Molecule: ribosomal RNA, 644 nt
Filed under: uncultured bacterium
Lineage: Bacteria
Description: bacterial SSU rRNA
Rfam family: Bacterial small subunit ribosomal RNA
Source: RNAcentral
CGCGGCCUAUCAGCUUGUUGGUGGGGUGAUGGCCUACCAAGGCGACGACGGGUAGCCGGCCUGAGAGGGCGACCGGCCACACUGGGACUGAGACACGGCCCAGACUCCUACGGGAGGCAGCAGUGGGGAAUAUUGCACAAUGGGCGGAAGCCUGAUGCAGCGACGCCGCGUGAGGGAUGACGGCCUUCGGGUUGUAAACCUCUUUCAGCAGGGACGAAGCGAGAGUGGCGGUACCUGCAGAAGAAGCGCCGGCCAACUACGUGCCAGCAGCCGCGGUAAGACGUAGGGCGCGAGCGUUGUCCGGAUUUAUUGGGCGUAAGGAGCUCGUAGGCGGCUUGUUGCGUCGGCUGUGAAAACCCGUGGCUUAACUGCGGGCUUGCAGCCGAUACGGGCGGGCUAGAGUUCGGUAGGGGAGACUGGAAUUCCUGGUGUAGCGGUGAAAUGCGCAGAUAUCAGGAGGAACACCGGUGGCGAAGGCGGGUCUCUGGGCCGAUACUGACGCUGAGGAGCGAAAGCGUGGGGAGCGAACAGGAUUAGAUACCCUGGUAGUCCACGCUGUAAACGUUGGGCGCUAGGUGUGGGGGGCCUCUCCGGUUCUCUGUGCCGCAGCUAACGCAUUAAGCGCCCCGCCUGGGGAGUACGGC